Molecule: non-coding RNA, 85 nt
Organism: Aspergillus ellipticus CBS 707.79
Lineage: Eukaryota; Fungi; Ascomycota; Eurotiomycetes; Eurotiales; Aspergillaceae
Source: the annotation of a GenBank genome assembly
GGCAAGAUGGCCGAGUGGUUAAAGGCGUUGGUUGUGCUUAAGACGCAAUCUCGAAAGAGUUCGUGGUCGAACCCCACUCUUGCCC